This 468-nucleotide ribosomal RNA is filed under the name uncultured bacterium. RNAcentral describes it as "partial 16S ribosomal RNA". It matches the Rfam family "Bacterial small subunit ribosomal RNA", at positions 28 to 507 of the family's 1533-position model. The record is from RNAcentral.
GACGAACGCUGGCGGCGUGCUUAACACAUGCAAGUCGAACGGAAAGGCCCUGCUUUUGUGGGGUGCUCGAGUGGCGAACGGGUGAGUAACACGUGAGUAACCUGCCCUUGACUUUGGGAUAACUUCAGGAAACUGGGGCUAAUACCGGAUAGGAGCUCCUGCUGCAUGGUGGGGGUUGGAAAGUUUCGGCGGUUGGGGAUGGACUCGCGGCUUAUCAGCUUGUUGGUGGGGUAGUGGCUUACCAAGGCUUUGACGGGUAGCCGGCCUGAGAGGGUGACCGGCCACAUUGGGACUGAGAUACGGCCCAGACUCCUACGGGGGGCAGCAGUGGGGAAUAUUGCACAAUGGGCGGAAGCCUGAUGCAGCAACGCCGCGUGCGGGAUGACGGCCUUCGGUUUGUAAACCGCUUUCGCCUGUGACGAAGCGUGAGUGACGGUAAUGGGUAAAGAAGCCCCGGCUAACUACGUG